CAUGGUUUUUUGAAAAUAAUUUAAAAUUUGAUCUGCUCAAUGAAUAAUUAAAUUGCCGCAGUAUAUUAACUGUGCAAAGGUAGCAUAAUAAUUAGUUUCUUGAUUAGAAGCUGGAAUGAAUGAUUGGACGAUAAAAUAGCUGUCUCUGAAUAAUUUUUUAAUGAAUUUUAUUUUUAAGUUAAAAAGCUUAAAUUAUUUUAAAAGACGAGAAGACCCUAUAGAGUUUAAUAAAAUUUAUUAUUCAUAAUUUUAGUAUUUUUUUAUAUUAAUUUUAUUUAGUUGGGGUGACUUGAAAAUUUAAGUAAUUUUUUAAAGUUUUAAUUUUUAAUUAAAAAAUUCUUAAUCUAUUUUUUUAAAAAUAAAAUAAAUUACCUUAGGGAUAACAGCGUAAUUUUUCUUUAAAGUUCAUAUUAAAAGAAAAGUUUGCGACCUCGAUGUUGGAUUAAAAUUAAUUUUUGGUGCAGUAGCUAAAGAAUUAAGUCUGUUCGACUUUUAAAAUU
Molecule: ribosomal RNA, 500 nt
Filed under: Benibotarus spinicoxis
Lineage: Eukaryota; Metazoa; Arthropoda; Insecta; Coleoptera; Lycidae
Description: partial large subunit ribosomal RNA
Rfam family: Archaeal large subunit ribosomal RNA (bases 379-500)
Source: RNAcentral